AAGUCGUAACAAGGUUUCCGUAGGUGAACCUGCGGAAGGAUCAUUCACAAUUAGUGUUCAAUGGCACUUUCAAUCCAUUACCCACCUUGUGUGCAAUGUCGGGAGGGGGAACCAAACCCACACACCACCCUCUCUCCUCUCUCUCUCUCGUGGGAGGGGGAGGGGAGAAGGAAAGAGGGGGGGGGGUUCUCUUUUUCAUACAUACACUUUAUGUUCUUUCAGUAUCAGUCUACAUCAAUUGAGUAUAAAACCUCUAAUACAACUUUCAACAACGGAUCUCUUGGCUCUC
RNAcentral lists this unclassified non-coding RNA (289 nucleotides) under fungal sp. Its description in RNAcentral is "partial internal transcribed spacer region". The stretch from base 1 to 46 matches the Rfam family "Eukaryotic small subunit ribosomal RNA", at positions 1786 to 1831 of the family's 1831-position model. Lineage: Eukaryota; Fungi. The record is from RNAcentral.